RNAcentral lists this long non-coding RNA (237 nucleotides) under Carica papaya (papaya). RNAcentral describes it as "long non-coding RNA (CPAP_LNC002173)". The record is from RNAcentral. Lineage: Eukaryota; Viridiplantae; Streptophyta; Magnoliopsida; Brassicales; Caricaceae.
CCGAAGCAAAACAUCAAAUCGCGACUCGCACUAGAGGAGCUACCGCACCCGAGAGCUCCGCCGCAGGUAAGUCUCAGCUUUUUGAGUUUUUUUAGCUCAUCGAGGGCCUUACGUGUGUUUUCUCGCAGAAACUGGUGCUAGUUUGGCUGAAUUCGACUGGAAACGGUCGAAAACAGCCAACCCGAGGCGGAUCACCGCCGUGGGCGAUGGCGCCGACGCCGAAGCACGGCAGAUUGC